This 467-nucleotide ribosomal RNA is filed under the name uncultured bacterium. Its description in RNAcentral is "partial 16S ribosomal RNA". It matches the Rfam family "Bacterial small subunit ribosomal RNA", at positions 28 to 507 of the family's 1533-position model. The record is from RNAcentral.
GACGAACGCUGGCGGCGUGCUUAACACAUGCAAGUCGAACGGAAAGGCCCUGCUUUUGUGGGGUGCUCGAGUGGCGAACGGGUGAGUAACACGUGAGUAACCUGCCCUUGACUUUGGGAUAACUUCAGGAAACUGGGGCUAAUACCGGAUAGGAGCUCCUGCUGCAUGGUGGGGGUUGGAAAGUUUCGGCGGUUGGGGAUGGACUCGCGGCUUAUCAGCUUGUUGGUGGGGUAGUGGCUUACCAAGGCUUUGACGGGUAGCCGGCCUGAGAGGGUGACCGGCCACAUUGGGACUGGGAUACGGCCCAGACGCCUACGGGAGGCAGCAGUGGGGAAUAUUGCACAAUGGGCGGAAGCCGGAUGCAGCAACGCCGCGUGCGGGAUGACGGCCUUCGGGUUGUAAACCGCUUUCGCUGUGACGAAGCGUGAGUGACGGUAAUGGGUAAAGAAGCACCGGCUAACUACGUG